UCGGGAAUUUUGGGCAAUGGGCGAAAGCCUGACCCAGCAACGCCGCGUGAAGGAUGAAAUCCCUCGGGAUGUAAACUUCGCAAGAAUGGGAAGAAUAAGUCUCUGCCAAUACCAGAGAUGAUGACGGUACUAUUUGUAAGCUCCGGCUAACUCCGUGCCAGCAGCCGCGGUAAUACGGGGGGAGCAAGCGUUGUUCGGAUUUACUGGGCGUAAAGGGCGCGUAGGCGGCCACAACAAGUCACUUGUGAAAUCUCCGGGCUUAACCCGGUAGCGGUCAAGUGAUACUGUUGGGCUAGAGUGCGGAAGGGGCAACUGGAAUUCUCGGUGUAGCGGUGAAAUGCGUAGAUAUCGAGAGGAACACCUGCGGCGAAGGCGGGUUGCUGGGCCGACACUGACGCUGAGGCGCGAAAGCUAGGGGAGCGAACGG
RNAcentral lists this ribosomal RNA (427 nucleotides) under uncultured bacterium. RNAcentral describes it as "bacterial SSU rRNA". It matches the Rfam family "Bacterial small subunit ribosomal RNA", at positions 355 to 775 of the family's 1533-position model. The record is from RNAcentral.